This 433-nucleotide ribosomal RNA is filed under the name uncultured bacterium. RNAcentral describes it as "partial 16S ribosomal RNA". It matches the Rfam family "Bacterial small subunit ribosomal RNA", at positions 29 to 507 of the family's 1533-position model. The record is from RNAcentral.
AACGAACGCUGGCGGCAUGCCUAACACAUGCAAGUCGAACGAGACCUUCGGGUCUAGUGGCGCACGGUUGCGUAACGCGUGGUAACCUGCCCUUAGGUUCGGAAUAACUCCCCGAAAGGCGUGCUAAUAUCGGAUAAUGUCUUCGGACCAAAGAUUUUUCGCCUUUGGAUGGGCCCGCGUUGGAUUAGCUUGUUGGUAGUGUAAAAGCCUACCAAGGCGUCAAUACAUAGCUGGUCUGAGAGAAUGAUCAGCGACAAUGGGACUGAGACACGGACGAGAAUACUACGGAAGGGAGGAAUGGGGAAUAUAGGAAAAGGGGGGGAAGGCUGAACCAGCAAUGGCGGGAAAGUGAUGAAGGCAUGAGGGAAGUAAAGCUCUUUAAACCGGGAUGAUAAUGACAGUACCGGGAGAAUAAGCACCGGCUAACUCCGUG